CAUUAGGUGGCUGAAAGUAAGCAACGGAAUUUUAAACCGUCCUAUAAUAAAUAACGACUAUUCCUAAUG
This 69-nucleotide transfer RNA is filed under the name Agrianome spinicollis. Its description in RNAcentral is "tRNA-Lys". The record is from RNAcentral. Lineage: Eukaryota; Metazoa; Arthropoda; Insecta; Coleoptera; Cerambycidae.